CCGAGUCCUAAAGGCAUAACCUGCUUUAGGAACAUACAUACAAGACACACUUGGAGUUCCAGUGGGCUUUUAUUGAGAUAAAUUAACAAAAAGAAAAGUAAUCAAGAUUUUACCAACCAUCUUUUCUGAACCAUGUAUAAACUCUGUAAAGACUCAGGUCCAUAGACAUGUACAUACAAUGUAACACAUCCCAACAAAAACAUACUCCCCACUGGAACAUUUGCCAAUUAAACAGAAAGCCAAUUUUCCCUUUCCCCAAAAUAUUUUCAAAAUUUUAAGUUCCCACUGUUUAAAGUGGGACUGGUCCCUUGUGGCUAGGGACAUUAGAAUUUUCUUAUUUUUACUGAACAAAAAUUGUAAUUUUUUUUUUUAUAAUUUGUUUUGCUUCAAAUAAGGGAAGUGACUUUGUUUUCUCCAGGCACCCUUCCCAAGAACCACUGGUUAAAAUACAGCAGCUGUAUCUUUAACUAACCCAGGCCCACCCCUCCCCUGCCCUGCCCAGCCUUGUCUACUGGAGAUUUAAAUACACUUCUGUUGGAGUCUGUCAGCUGUGGAGGGGCAGAGUCCAGGCCAGGCUAGCUCCCUCUGACCUCAUACUGGUUACAACCCUUGGACACUUAACUCUUUAUUCCAAAGAUGAGUUUUUGCAUCAGAGAAGAAAAUAGAUUUGCUUUGGGAGUUUUAAAAAACUAUCUUUAUGAAUAUAAAGCAGAACUACAAACUCACCAAAGCCCACAUAAAUUCACCCAAAAGCUGGCUUACUUCACCUCCUAUGAGGCCAAUAAUUUUGCCUGACAAAGAUAUUUGGCAAGAAAAUCAUUCCACAGUAACAAUUUUAAAGAUACACAGAAACUUGGAAAAAAAAAAGUAUCCAAUUAAAAUAACAUGGCUUAAUUCCCAAAAACUUAUUUCAUCUUUUUGUUACUCAUCUAAAGGUCAGGAGUGUGGCUAAAGGCAGUUCCCCAUGAGGUUAUGAGCUUCCAAAGUGUUUCUAAAUCCUUAGUGCAGACACCCUCCCUGUUGGGACACAGCACCCUCCCCUCCCACCCACAUAAAAAAAAAAAAAGAAAAGAAAAAGAAAAAAAAAAAAAGAAAAAAAAUUAAACAAAAUCAAAUGAUCAGAAUGAGAUGUUUUGUUUCCAACACUGGUUUCCAAAGCUUUGUGCUGUGUGCUGUUCUGAGCACGAUGGUGUCCAACACAAAGCCAAGUGGCCAAGGAAAGAUGCCCUCAUCUCAUUCUGAAGAUGAAUUAUGACAACCGCCCACCCCACCCCAACAUUUUGGGCCAACCCAGUGUUAUGCUGGUACUCAUUUGGAAAUAAUUUAGAACUAGUUAGGCUUUCUUUUCCAGGAAAAAUCAUUUUAUGGUAAAUGCGUUCCACUCCAUAGGAAAGUUUCGUUCACCUUCAGAACAUAAAGGGAGAGAAAAGCAAGGCAGGCCCUGAGGCAGCAAGGUGUGUAACAGUCUUGUAACUUAUUACACAACUAUACGACCAGAAGCUAAAACCACUAAGGUGGAUACAGUCUGAAUAUUAAAAAUAGGAUGUAGUCCUCUCAUCCAAAUUAACCACUGGAAAAACAAAACCAUCAUUUUAGGAAUUACUGGAAAGAACCUGAAAGACAAUUUCCAAUAGUAGCAAUGUUCCUUAUUAGGAGGGAUUUAAAAAAAAAAAAAAAAAAAAAAGACCAGGCUUUGACCCGGUCAGUAGGGCAUCUUCCCAUUAUCAGUUCCUGUGAGCCGAGCACCACACCCACCGAGGCCUCUCCACUGUCCUGCGGUGGUGCCAGCUAGUCCAAGUGCCACAACUCAUCAGAGACUAUUCAAUAAUGCUCUCCAUGUGGAGUCUGUGCUUUAAGAGGGACCUGUAGGCAUGUGGCACCCGGCAGGGCAGCCCAAGGUUGGCAAGAGACUGCACUUUUUGUUGACUUACCCACAUGCCCUUUGGCGAGAUACUGAAUUGCAUUUAUACUCCUUUUCUGUGAUGUUCUACAUGGAAGAUCCCUCUCAUCUCGCCAAAGGCAGGAAGAAAGAGAGCUGCAUCAGUACAAGGGCAAGAUUUGUUGGUCAAAAGGAGAUAAUUAAGACCCCUCCCCCACCCUCCCUAAAAAAGUGACUUCCUUAAUUUGGUUUAUGUUUAAUAACCAACAUGGACUGGACUUGCCUCUUUGGGGUUUGUACUGUGCAGCUCUUGCUACAGUUGUUACGGAGUUGGGGUUAUGUCUGAUCAGGAGGCAUCUGUAGGAUUUUGAUCCCCAAGGAAUUUGGGAUGAGUCACAAAUAGUUUUGAAAAAUGAUGGAAUAUGGAAAUCAAUUUUUUAAUUGUUUUUUUUUUCUUUUUUUUGCUUUUUUUGUUCCCUAGAUGCCUCCUGACUGACCUAGUACACUGGGUUAAAAGGGAAUUAAAAACAUUUUUUUUAAAAAAAAGUUCACUGGUUUUGAUUCAUCUCACUCCUUUUGCCUGGAGAUCAGGCCAAACAUCAAGCAUGUUGGGAGGGGCACAAUUUAAAGCAACACUAUCUACCUAAAGCAUCUGCCAGCGAUUUACAAUGCAAAAUGACAGAAUUCUUGUCACGGUGGCACAGAGAACGGCAAGCAGCUUUCUGCAGCAUGGGUGUUAACAGCUCUCAGGGGGUUGCCCAUUCCUGCUAAAGUGUAUGUAACAAGGUGGGCCAAGGGCAACUCGCUCCCACACCACAGGUGACUGAAGACAGCUAAGCUCCACAACUGCCAAGCCCAUGGAGCCGGCACUGGCUGGUCCUCUAUGUGCAAGUGCAGGCUUCACACACACUGCUCUCACACUGCACUCCAUACCCUUCUCAUACUCCAGGAAGAUGAACCUUUGUCCCCCUGUGCAGAACUUGGCAAGUUCCUCAAACUUUUAGAGCAGGAGAACCAAAUCACAGAGCUUCUCAAAGCCCUCGGGAAUCACGGGUUCCUGAUACUUCCUUAAUCUCUGCUAAACCACUGCAAAUGCACUACAAGAGCAGUGUGGCAGCAGACUGCAUCCUGGGCUUCUGGGCCCUUUUCAACACAGGGCCCUGCAGAGGUCUGCUUCCUACAGUUAGAGGCCAAAGCACAUUUUAGAAUUUAGUGUUGCAGAAAACUGAGCCCCUCUCAUCUUUAGCUGCUCCCAUAAUCACUCUAAUCCCCUUAAUCCCAGCAACCUUCAUCCAAAAAAAAAUAAUAUAUAUAUGUAUAUAUAUAUAUUUAUAUGAACCCAGAAAAAAACUUAUUUACAAAGUUUAUACAAGUAUACACAUCCAAUUUUCUACGGACUCGCUUUGCCACAGAGGAAAGAGGGUCAAGGCUCCGACACAUCUCCACGUCAAGUGCCAUACUGCUCAUGGAGGUGUGUGAGCCAGCUUAGUGUUCUGCUGUAGAGCACAAAGGCUUGUCAUAUGGCUCCUGCAGUGACAGGCUGCUCUUUCCUUUGGGAGCGACGAUGGUGCGUCUACUCAGCCCAGAAGAAAAUUUUACUUGGUACUGUUUUGUUUUUUUUUCUUUUAAAUACAUGUAUUUACAGUGUGGAUGGCCUGCAGUUGUGAAUCAACUCCUCCAUAUAAAGAAAAGGAAAAUGGCGCUGACAUCACUAGUCCACCUUCCAGCCCUGGGCAUGAGUACUGGAAGAACAGGAAGAGAGACUUCAACUUGAAACGAAAAUGAAGAGGCAAAGGAAAAAAAAAGAAAAAAGAAAAAAACAGGAAAAAAUAGAACAUGACUUGGUUGAUUCCUUGGGCUGUGUGUAAAGAUGAUAUUCUUAAUGGUCUCGUAGCAUAAGGCACUUCGCACAAAUAAGUAAUAAGCUCUUCAGGCUUAAGAAACGGAUGACUAAUCAGGGAGAAGUUGAAAUGCAGUAGAGUCAGCUAUUGGAGAAUUGUAGACGGUGUGUGUGUUCACCAAGGUUCUUCUCUUUUUAGGGUUUCUCCCUUCCUUUUCUUUUUCCUCCUUCCUUGUCCCCUUUCCCCAGAAAACAUUUUUAAAAACCAGCAGUUAGUGCAACGAAUGUUCAGUCAGCACACAGUGCAAACAAGUGGAACAAAAAACGUCUAUUUCUUCUUUUCAGUUUCUCUUCACCAGUUAAAAAAAAAGAAAAAUGUCUGAGCUCUUAUAUAACUCUUCAUAGUUCCAAAACAAAGAUGAAAAAACCCACAAAGAGAAGAGCAUCCCCCCAAAAAAUGAUGUGUCACAGAUCCAAGGAGCCUUUUGCAGUUUAUCAAAGCCUACAGAAAAAGUUUAGAAAUUCAAAAAAUUAACAUCCACAAAAGCAAUAUAAAACAGAGAGACAUGUUUUCACAACUUUCACCCCAAACUACUAGGAUGUACUAGUUACACGACAGAGUUUCAGAUGGACAUGGAGGCUCACCCAUGUAAAUCUAAGCACUCAGGAGACUGAGUCAUGAGUUUCUUUUUGGUGAGCUAGGGCUACAGACUGUCUCAGGGGAAAAAAAAAAAUUAAAAAAACCACCCAACAACUUCCUCUCACAUACCCCAGGAUGAGAUCUUCAAGUUCUGAUAGCAAGACAAGAAUGACAGGUCUCAUUUACAAUAAUUAAGAGGCCAAGUGUGGCGAUACACACCUUUACCCCCAGCACUGGGGAAGUGGAAGGAUGAAGAUUAGGUUCUCAAGGUCAUGUUUG
This 4638-nucleotide long non-coding RNA is filed under the name Cricetulus griseus (Chinese hamster). Its description in RNAcentral is "lncRNA (ENSCGRG00015041014.1)". The record is from RNAcentral. Lineage: Eukaryota; Metazoa; Chordata; Mammalia; Rodentia; Cricetidae.